Molecule: transfer RNA, 75 nt
Rfam family: tRNA
About the family: Transfer RNA (tRNA) molecules are approximately 80 nucleotides in length. Their secondary structure includes four short double-helical elements and three loops (D, anti-codon, and T loops).
UCCGUGGUAGCUCAGCGGUAGAGCAAGCGACUGUUAAUCGCUUGGUCGUAGGUUCGAUCCCUACCCACGGAGCCC